RNAcentral lists this long non-coding RNA (467 nucleotides) under Setaria viridis. Its description in RNAcentral is "long non-coding RNA (SVIR_LNC001449)". The record is from RNAcentral. Lineage: Eukaryota; Viridiplantae; Streptophyta; Magnoliopsida; Poales; Poaceae.
AACAAAGGGAGACAGCUAACAAACAACUGGCAAAGCAUGUGACCAAAGUAGGGGACUCCCGCAAACCUGGAUCUGGUCACACAUAUUGUAUUGGUGCUAGUACCAUCACAUGAAUUAAAUCGUAAAAUCAUAUGAAUAUCCUAUAUUCCUCAUGAAAUUACCCACCUGACAACUCUUAGAUUACACCCCGUCGUAGCUGCCCCGUGUUUCCUACCAUAGGAGAUUGACAUGGCUUUCUAGAAUACUAAUAAUAUUAACAACAACAUAGCCUUUCAAGUUAAGGUAAGCUAAAAUUGAAACCCCACGAAAACCACAAAUCAGGGUUCGAGUACAUGAAUAGCUAUUUUUCAAGCACUCCUAUCCAGAUAAAUCUUUAGGUAUAUUCCACCCCUUCAAAUCUCCUUUUAUUGCAUCUUCCCAUAUCAAUUUUGGUAUUCCUCUACCUCUCUUCACAUUACUGUCACGCC